CUACAACCAUACACAUUUUCUUCAUUACAACAAAAUAAUGUAAUGACCAACGACAGCACAAGAACAAAGAGAGAAAAAAAUCAGAAAACAAGAUCACUAGGAGAGAAAAAACUUCAGGAAACAACAGUGGCGGAGCGAACCAGCGACCUCUAAUGCGGCGGCGACCAACGUUGAUGGCCGGCAGUGUGGUUGGUGAUGUUCGGUGGUCAUGAGUCCUCUUCCGGCGAAUGAAAUUAAAGAAACAAUAUUGAUGUUGAGGAUGAAGUCUGAAUAUGGGUGUUGGUUGGAGUAUGUGAAGCAUUGGGAAAAAAGAAAAAUUGAAGAUAAAGAAAAGUGAUUCACGGAACUUGGAAGUGUUGGCUGUAAACAAUUAAAAUAUAUAUUAUUUAUGUUUUUUUUUUGAAAGAAUAUAUUAUUUAUGUGUAGUGGCUGUAAACAAUUAAAAAGCAUCAUCCUGCUAAUUAAAUUUA
Molecule: long non-coding RNA, 470 nt
Organism: Ipomoea triloba (trilobed morning glory)
Lineage: Eukaryota; Viridiplantae; Streptophyta; Magnoliopsida; Solanales; Convolvulaceae
Exons: 2
Source: RefSeq, a predicted model, not a curated record